Molecule: long non-coding RNA, 4522 nt
Filed under: Homo sapiens (human)
Lineage: Eukaryota; Metazoa; Chordata; Mammalia; Primates; Hominidae
Description: LNC_000227
Source: RNAcentral
CACCGCCCCCACCCCUCCCAGCGCAGGGGCAGCUUGGAGCAGAGGCAGCACUGGCCACCACUGCGGGGGCAAGUCAGCGUCAAGAGAGUCCCUGAGUGAGAAGGCCCAGAUAAGCCCAGGCCCCCCAGGCCAGCGGACAGGCACAGGCAGGGCCUACAGAGGUGCCAAGGCCCCAGGCCAGUUGUGCUAGGAGCCUGGACCUGCUCUUCCACACCCCCAUCCCGCCCCUACUGCACAGGCUUGUGCCUUGGUGCCCCCUGGAGGCAGCAGGGAGGAGGCUUCUCAGGCAGAAGUCUUAAGUUGCAUCCCAUUCCCCAGAAUCCCCAGGAGGGAGAAGAGGGAUGGGCUGCCCCUCCUUCCUGCCAGAGCCACAGCUCAAGGGCAGUGGGAUGGCCCUGCACCCAGCCCAGGUACCCCUUCCUCUGUGCCGACCAUGCUGUCCUUUGGCUCCGAGGAGGCCCUGAGCACUGCCCACCCCCACACCUUGGAGGGAGCAGACGGAGGGGGUGAGUACUGCACAGAGCCUGCCUGGAGGUGCAGACUCAUGCACUCAGCCCUGAAGAGGUGAGAGAGGCUGGAUCUUAACUGUGGUCCAAUGGGCAUAUUAUGAGUGGUCCUUGUCCCUGCCUGCUAUGGGGUAACCCUGACCCAGCUAGCGUCCCUGACAACAUGAUACAAAAACACAGAACUCUAGCGGGAUACAGAGAUGUGUGCACAGCUGGCAGGAGCACUGGCCACCUCCCAACCUGUUCCCCAUAGCUUACUCCUGGAUGUAGCCUGGAGGGACUGCUGGGCUGGGGAGGGACUGGCCAUGGAGCAGGGAGCUGGAUGCCAGCGGGACCUCAGACCUGGACUGCAGCAUCUCUUUGGUUAUCGGUUGUGUGUGUGCUCAGAAGGGAGGAGGCCUUCCCCUUGUUACAUCUCUCUCUCCAUAUAUUCUCCCGGACUCAUCAGUUUGGGGGGCGAAAAGUCCACCACAUGGUCUUGGCGACAAACCACUGGGGAUGUCACCCCAGCUGCAGAGCUGGAAGCUUGUGCCGGAGGGGAAACUGGGUGAGCAAGGGAGGGGCGAGGCCUGCCUGUGCUCUCCUCACCACUGCUGGGACCAGAAAAGAUGGGCACCUGAUAGCUCAGCUGGGCAGUCCCAACGCAUUCCCACUCAGCCAAGGGCCUGAGCCCCAGGCCAUUCUGGUUGUGUCUUUUCAGAGCAGUGAGACCUAAAACAGAUGGGAAGAAGUCAUGAACUUGGGAGUCAGGCCGCUUCACCUGUCUUCUCACCCCACAGGCUCCCCUGAGCCUGGCCCAGCCAGCAGCUCACCCAGCCUCAGGCCUCCUGGGGGGCAGCAGCCACACUGCCCGUGGCGCUCUGCGCCAAGCACUGUCCAGGGAUAGUCCCGCUGAUGUUGUGGAUGGCACCAUAGGUCUGCUGCUGCUGCUGCUGCGGAGACAGUGCUGUCCUCUCCGAGGCCAAGCCGUUCAGAAUCCGAGGCACGUAGGGCUGUCAGCAAAUGGAUUUGUGCUUGGCCUGGACAGGCAUGAGCUUCCACACUGCAUCCCUCCCCUCCUGCCCUUCUCCCAACAGGACACAGACAGUGGCCAUAAAGGACAUAUGAAGAAACACCGACAUCCAUUUAGGACAUUAAGACCGAAAAUAUGACACCUGCAGAAUUUCCUAGCAGCCAGGGCAAAAGAGAAAGCACAGUUAUACAGUUCUCAUGAUCACAGAAGGAAGCACAAGAGAGCAGUUCUCAGAGGAAACUAAACUUCCUAGCCCUGGAUCCUAGGAGGAUUUCUCACUUUGUAGAAGAAACAAGUCUACCUAUAUAGGGGGGCUUAGAACGCUGCCCUGGGACCCCUGGGAUGCUCAACAUAUCUGUGUGAGUCUCAUUUUGAGUCUCAUUUCCUCCCAAUCCCAGGCUCCAGCCACUGACCCCAGGCACAGAGCCCUGCCAUACUCCUCCUGAGACCCUGGCUGUGAGGGCUUGACAUCAUCCACCUGUCCUGCAUGUUCCCUGCUUGGCCAGCAUAGCCACAGGUGUGUCGCUGGGUAAUGAGUCCUUCUGAGGCCCUCCCUUGUUUGGAACUUGUCCAAGGACAGACACCGAUAAGAGAGCCUGACACCUGGGAGGCAGCCACCAGAAAGAACCCUGCAGAUGAGGUCGGCUCUGUCCUGGCCACGGCUGUCAGGAAGGCUGGUGACUACAGCUCUGGAACCCUGGGGCUCUGCUUUCCCUUCCCAGCCCCACCCUAGGAGCAGGACCCUGGAGGCUGUGUGCAGAGAGAACUAGGAAGGCAAGGAGCCCUGUGUCUCUCUACCAUGGGGUCUUCCUCUGAAGCAGGUGCAAUGUUCAUUUCUUGAAUUCAAAGGGAAGUCUGCCUGACACCCUCUUGGAGCCUAGUGGAGGACCUCGCACAGGCAGGUGCAUCGCUGAUGACAAACCUUUGUCAAACCCUAGCGCCUUACCAUGUGCCUUCACUAAAGCCCCAAACUCACCAGGCAUUAAAUAUGCAGAGAAGGAAAGAGAGCAGGGAACUGAAACCAAGGGGGAUGGCCAUGAAUCGAGACAAGACUCUAUCUCCUCAACAGUUUCAAAUAUGCAGGUUAAAAUACCCAGGGGGACCAGGAUUCCUUCUCUGCCAUUAAUUCACAAACUUGCCUGCCAUGUGAUCUUAGCAAGAGAUGAUCAAAGAUUUGCCGGGGCCCAUCUGGUUGGGACUGUUACAACCAAAGCAAAAAAAAGGGCGACAAGCUCAGAGGCUGAGGGGCACAGCUUACUGUGAACGGUGGGGGCAUGUGGGCCUCUGCCUCACUUCCUUUGUCACUUGCAGGCUCUUCUGUCUGCAGAUAACAGCAAAAACUUGCGAUGAUAAACAAAACUGAUCUCUGUGAACAAACACCCUCCAAACACACAGACUAUUAACACCCGGAAUAAUAGUACCAGCUGGCACCAAGCUCCCCAGCAGCCCGAGAGAGGAUGGGGUGGGGGAGUGCAGGGAUGAGGGGAGGAAGGGAAGCUACACAUGGCACCCAACCACCCACGCCUUUCCCAUGGAGAAGCAGAAUCUGGAGAAGGCUGCUGCUGUGUUGAUACAGACAAGGGUGGGCGGGGUUGACAGCGAGCCCGUCCCACCAUCUGUUCCUCCCAGGGCUUGACCGGGCAGUGGGGUCGGGGGCCUUUACUUUGUAGUUCAGAGGGCUGAGGUGCUUGAAGCAUCCAAAGCAGGUGUGAGCCAGGCAGACCAGGAUGGUGAGCAGCAGCACCAGGAAGGUGAACAGAGUGGCGGGGGCCUUCAUACCUGGUGAUAGAGGGUGGCUAGCCUUGGGGUGGGCAGGGAGGGGCCACCACCUACCCUCACCCUGCUGAGGAAGGGGCCGCACCUGGUGUGGAAACUGCCCGUGACUUCUCCCUCAGGCAGAAAAUAAAGGUAAGGCCUAACCCCCCACCCCCACCCCUCAACUCCAGCAGCAAGGAUGGUGUCUUCACAGCCAGGAACACACAGAGGGACCCACUGAAUGACUGGCAUCAUCCCUGGUCAGAUUUCAGGCACUGGGGUGCCAAGUCAAUGGCAAUUCUUCAGCCUCCUUGCUGGUCCGUUCCCUCCAGUCUCCAGUGCCCUGGGCUAGAGAGGAUGGACCCUCCCACACCCCCAGUCUGACCGGGGCAGACGUGUCUUUCCCCCAGGAGUGUCAGUUUUCUCUCCUCCACGUCCCCACCUCUUCCAUGCCAGGAGGUACAAGGAGCUGGGCCCAACCACCAGCCUCAAAGGGCAAAUCUGGAUCAGCUUCCCCAUUUCCUCUGGUUCAGUCCCUGCACAGCUGAUAAAGGCACUAUCUUCUCUCCAGGGAUGUAUGGGACAAUUGACCAGGCCUUCACAAGGGUUACACCUGCACUCGGGCUAGCUUAGGAGCCAGGCUGUCAACACCACACCCAACCAGCCCCUCACCCUGGGUAUCAUGUUUUGAUUGGACACCUAACCAGUCCUCACUCUGGGCACCACAUUCUGACUAGACAUGUAACCAACCCUCAUUCUGGGUACCACGUUCUGAUGGGACACCUAACCAGCCCUCACUCUGGGCACCACAUUCUGACUGGAUGCCAUGCUGAUGCUGUGAAAGCAAUGAGGGAUCUGACUGGCUGGUGGGGAUGCAGGGCUGGGAGGCCAAGGGCUGGCCCCAGGUCAGAAGGGCUGCUCACCCAGGCGCAGGAAGGAAAAGAAGUAGAGCCAGAAGAGGCACAGGAUGGGGGCUGCCAAGGCCUGGUUCACAGCGGCAAAGUGGAUCCCCUUCUCCAGCUUGGCUGGGAGGUAGACGAAGUAGAGGUUGUGCCGGUCCACCAUGUGCUUGAGCAGGAUGUAGAUGAGGCCAAAUGGCGCGAUGAUGGGACAAGUGAUGCUGUAGGCCACGAUGACAGUGAAGACACACAGCAUCCAUGCAUACAUGGCUCCAAACUCGUACUGGAAGGCCUGGUUCUGCUUGACAUUCCUGCGGUCAGCAGCCGUCUUGGCCAUGAUCAUGCGGAAG